AAAGGGAGACCUAAUUCAGGUAGGAGACGAAAAAAAGUAGUCCCUACCAAGAAUCAAUCCCAAAAGGUCGGAGCGAGGCAAAAUUGGCUUUCAAACUAGGUUCUGGGUUCACAUAAGACCUGAAUCAGGAACAAGGGCUAUUAGCUCAGGUGGUUAGAGCGCACCCCUGAUAAGGGUGAGGUCCCUGAAUCAGGAACAAGGGCUAUUAGCUCAGGUGGUUAGAGCGCACCCCUGAUAAGGGUGAGGUCCCUGGUUCGAGUCCAGGAUGGCCCACCUGCACAGGUGGCAAAAACAAAGAAAAGAAGCUCCGAAUCAGCACCUUAUCUUACUCAUAUAGUAAGAGAGAAUGCUGGCUCUGAGUUCAGAGUCCAGAGGAACCUUGAAAACUGCAUAGAGCUAGGUGAAAAAGCCAAAAAAGAAGACCGCAAG
Molecule: transfer RNA, 429 nt
Filed under: uncultured Microcystis sp.
Lineage: Bacteria; Bacillati; Cyanobacteriota; Cyanophyceae; Chroococcales; Microcystaceae
Description: partial 16S-23S ribosomal RNA intergenic spacer
Rfam family: tRNA (bases 200-273)
Source: RNAcentral